This 510-nucleotide non-coding RNA is filed under the name Oryza sativa Indica Group (long-grained rice). Its description in RNAcentral is "Bacterial large subunit ribosomal RNA". It matches the Rfam family "Bacterial large subunit ribosomal RNA", at positions 15 to 565 of the family's 2925-position model. The record is from Rfam by way of RNAcentral. Lineage: Eukaryota; Viridiplantae; Streptophyta; Magnoliopsida; Poales; Poaceae.
GCGUACACGGUGGAUGCCCUGGCAGUCAGAGGCGAUGAAGGACGUGCUAAUCUGCGAAAAGCGCCGGCGAGGUGAUAUGAACCUUUGACCCGGCGAUGUCCGAAUGGGGAAACCCAGUGUGUUCCGACACACUAUCGUUAACUGAAUACAUAGGUUAACGAGGCGAACCGGGGGAACUGAAACAUCUAAGUACCCCGAGGAAAAGAAAUCAACCGAGAUUCCCCCAGUAGCGGCGAGCGAACGGGGAGCAGCCCAGAGUCUGAAUCAGCUUGUGUGUUAGUGGAAGCGUCUGGAAAGUCGCACGGUACAGGGUGACAGUCCCGUACACGAAAGCACACAGGUUGUGAACUCGAAGAGUAGGGCGGGACACGUGGUAUCCUGUCUGAAUAUGGGGGGACCAUCCUCCAAGGCUAAAUACUCCUGACUGACCGAUAGUGAACCAGUACCGUGAGGGAAAGGCGAAAAGAACCCCGGCGAGGGGAGUGAAAUAGAACCUGAAACCGUGUACGU